ACUCCGUACGGGAGGCAGCAGGUAGGGAAUCUUCCACAAUGGGACGCAAGCCUGAUGGAGCAACACCGCGUGAGUGAAGAAGGGUUUCGGCUCGUAAAAGCUCUGUUGUUAAGGAAGAACACGUAUGAGAGUAACUGUUCAUACGUUGACGGUAUUUAACCAGAAAGUCACGGCUAACUACGUGCCAGCAGCCGCGGUAAUACGUAGGUGGCAAGCGUUAUCCGGAUUUAUUGGGCGUAAAGAGAGUGCAGGCGGUUUUCUAAGUCUGAUGUGAAAGCCUUCGGCUUAACCGGAGAAGUGCAUCGGAAACUGGAUAACUUGAGUGCAGAAGAGGGUAGUGGAACUCCAUGUGUAGCGGUGGAAUGCGUAGAUAUAUGGAAGAACACCAGUGGCGAAGGCGGCGUACCUGGUCUGCAACUGACGCUGAGAC
Molecule: ribosomal RNA, 430 nt
Filed under: uncultured bacterium
Lineage: Bacteria
Description: bacterial SSU rRNA
Rfam family: Bacterial small subunit ribosomal RNA
Source: RNAcentral